This 212-nucleotide unclassified non-coding RNA is filed under the name uncultured Rhizophydium. Its description in RNAcentral is "sequence contains ITS1". Lineage: Eukaryota; Fungi; Chytridiomycota; Chytridiomycetes; Rhizophydiales; Rhizophydiaceae. The record is from RNAcentral.
UAAAAUAAUGAUGGCAAUCUCAUUGAGCUUGGUUGUUAAAUCGACUGCUCUAAGAGAUAGCCUCCCAUCAACCUCUGUGCACUGUAAUUGUAUCGGGUCUAAGUAAAGCUGUGUAUCUCUUGAGGUCAUAGUGAAGCUUAGGCCCAAAAACGGUUUCGACCGUAUAAACAACUUUUAAUUUUGACUGACUUUUGUUUCUAACGAAUCAAAAA